This 499-nucleotide ribosomal RNA is filed under the name uncultured bacterium. RNAcentral describes it as "bacterial SSU rRNA". It matches the Rfam family "Bacterial small subunit ribosomal RNA", at positions 34 to 518 of the family's 1533-position model. The record is from RNAcentral.
CGCUGGCGGCGCGUCUUAAGCAUGCAAGUCGAACGGCAAGGCAGGUGCUUGCACCUGCCCUAGAGUGGCGGACUGGUGAGUAACACGUGGGUGACAUGCCUUUAGUUGGGGAUAGCUACUAGAAAUAGUAGAUAAUACCGAAUGUGAUCAAUAUUUAUAGAUGAUGUUGAGGAAAGGAGCUAAGGCUUCGCUAAAAGAUUGGCCCGCGGCCCAUUAGCUAGUUGGUAGGGUAAAGGCUUACCAAGGCGAUGAUGGGUAUCCGGCCUGAGAGGGUGAUCGGACACAUUGGGACUGAGAUACGGCCCAGACUCCUACGGGAGGCAGCAGCUAAGAAUAUUCCACAAUGGACGAAAGUCUGAUGGAGCGACGCCGCGUGGAUGAUGAAAGGCCGAAAGGUUGUAAAAUCCUUUUACACUGGAGGAAUAAGCAGAGUAGGGAAUGACUCUGUGAUGACUGUACAGUUUGAAUAAGCAACGGCUAAUUACGUGCCAGCCGCGGC